This 497-nucleotide ribosomal RNA is filed under the name uncultured bacterium. RNAcentral's name for it is "partial 16S ribosomal RNA". It matches the Rfam family "Bacterial small subunit ribosomal RNA", at positions 28 to 507 of the family's 1533-position model. The record is from RNAcentral.
GAUGAACGCUGGCGGCGUGCCUAAUACAUGCAAGUCGAGCGAACAGACGAGGAGCUUGCUCCUCUGACGUUAGCGGCGGACGGGUGAGUAACACGUGGAUAACCUACCUACAAGACUGGGAUAACUUCGGGAAACCGGAGCUAAUACCGGAUAACAUGUUGAACCGCAUGGUUCAACAGUGAAAGACGGUCUUGCUGUCACUUAUAGAUGGAUCCGCGCCGCAUUAGCUAGUUGGUAAGGUAACGGCUUACCAAGGCAACGAUGCGUAGCCGACCUGAGAGGGUGAUCGGCCACACUGGAACUGAGACACGGUCCAGACUCCUACGGGAGGCAGCAGUAGGGAAUCUUCCGCAAUGGGCGAAAGCCUGACGGAGCAACGCCGCGUGAGUGAAGAAGGUCUUCGGAUCGUAAAACUCUGUUAUUAGGGAAGAACAAAUGUGUAAGUAACUAUGCACGUCUUGACGGUACCUAAUCAGAAAGCCACGGCUAACUACGUG